AGCUUGUCUAAGGACAUGGGGCUCCCCGGCUUCAGAGUUGGCAUCGUUUAUUCAUAUAACGAUGAAGUCGUCAGGUGCGGUCGCAAGAUGUCAAGUUUUGGUUUAGUCUCUUCGCAGACUCAAUAUUUGCUGGCUCGCAUGCUUUCUGAUGAGGAGUUUGUGAAAAAUUUUCUUGCGGAGAGCUCGAGAAGGCUAAACAAAAGGCACAGUAUGUUCACAAAGGGGCUGGAACAAGUGGGGAUCAAUUGUCUAAAAGGCAAUGCUGGUCUUUAUGUUUGGAUGGACCUACACCAUCUUCUUAAAGAACCAACAUUCGAAGGGGAAAUGACUCUGUGGAGAGUGAUUAUUGACCAGGUUAGGCUCAAUGUUUCGCCGGGCUCUUCUUUCCAUUGCAAGGAGCCUGGUUGGUUUAGGGUGUG
Molecule: unclassified non-coding RNA, 419 nt
Filed under: Hevea brasiliensis (rubber tree)
Lineage: Eukaryota; Viridiplantae; Streptophyta; Magnoliopsida; Malpighiales; Euphorbiaceae
Source: RNAcentral